This 460-nucleotide ribosomal RNA is filed under the name uncultured bacterium. RNAcentral describes it as "partial 16S ribosomal RNA". It matches the Rfam family "Bacterial small subunit ribosomal RNA", at positions 338 to 795 of the family's 1533-position model. The record is from RNAcentral.
CCUACGGGCGGCAGCAGUGAGGAAUAUUGGUCAAUGGACGAGAGUCUGAACCAGCCAAGUAGCGUGAAGGAUGACUGCCCUAUGGGUUGUAAACUUCUUUUAUAUGGGAAUAAAGUGCGGUAUGUAUGCUUUUUUGCAUGUACCUUAUGAAUAAGGAUCGGCUAACUCCGUGCCAGCAGCCGCGGUAAUACGGAGGAUCCGAGCGUUAUCCGGAUUUAUUGGGUUUAAAGGGAGCGUAGGCGGGUUGUUAAGUCAGUUGUGAAAGUUUGCGGCUCAACCGUAAAAUUGCAGUUGAUACUGGCAGUCUUGAGUACAGUAGAGGUAGGCGGAAUUCGUGGUGUAGCGGUGAAAUGCUUAGAUAUCACGAAGAACUCCGAUUGCGAAGGCAGCUUGCUAAACUGUAACUGACAUUGAUGCUCGAAAGUGUGGGUAUCAAACAGGAUUAGAUACCCUAGUAGUC